UCAGGACGAACGCUGGCGGCGUGCUUAACACAUGCAAGUCGAGCGGAAAGGCCACUUCGGUGGUACUCGAGCGGCGAACGGGUGAGUAACACGUGAGUAAUCUGCCCCUGGCUUUGGGAUAGCCACCGGAAACGGUGAUUAAUACCGGAUACGACCACUUCUCGCAUGGGAUGGUGGUGGAAAGUUUUUCGGCCAGGGAUGUGCUCGCGGCCUAUCAGCUUGAUGGUGAGGUAAUGGCUCACCAUGGCUUCGACGGGUAGCCGGCCUGAGAGGGUGACCGGUCACACUGGGACUGAGACACGGCCCAGACUCCUACGGGAGGCAGCAGUGGGGAAUAUUGGACAAUGGGCGGAAGCCUGAUCCAGCAACGCCGCGUGAGGGAUGACGGCCUUCGGGUUGUAAACCUCUUUCGGUGGGGACGAAGCGCAAGUGACGU
This 436-nucleotide ribosomal RNA is filed under the name soil bacterium 6V-09. RNAcentral's name for it is "bacterial SSU rRNA". It matches the Rfam family "Bacterial small subunit ribosomal RNA", at positions 24 to 462 of the family's 1533-position model. The record is from RNAcentral.